RNAcentral lists this non-coding RNA (864 nucleotides) under Drosophila simulans. Its description in RNAcentral is "Eukaryotic small subunit ribosomal RNA". It matches the Rfam family "Eukaryotic small subunit ribosomal RNA", at positions 366 to 1158 of the family's 1831-position model. The record is from Rfam by way of RNAcentral. Lineage: Eukaryota; Metazoa; Arthropoda; Insecta; Diptera; Drosophilidae.
GGAAUCAGGUUUGAUCCGGAGAGGAGCCUGGGAAACGGUUUCCACAUUAAGGAUGGCAGCAGCGCGUAAAUUACCCACUCCCCAGCUCGGGGAGUAGUGACGAAAAAUAACAAUACAGGACUCAUAUCCGAGGCCCGUAAUUGAAUGAGUACACUUUAAUUCCUUUAACAAGGACCAAUUGGAGGGCAAGUCUGGUGCCAGCAGCCGCGGUAAUUCCAGCUCCAAUAGCGUAUAUUAAAGUUGUUGCGGUUAAAACGUUCGUAGUUGAACUUGUGCUUCAUACGGGUAGUACAACUUACAAUUGUGGUUAGUACUAUACCUUUAUGUAUGUAAGCGUAUUACCGGUGGAGUUCUUAUAUGUGAUUAAAUACUUGUAUUUUUUCAUAUGUUCCUCCUAUUUAAAAACCUGCACUAGUGCUCUUAAACGAGUGUUAUUGUGGGCCGGUACUAUUACUUUGAACAAAUUAGAGUGCUUAAAGCAGGCUUCAAAUGCCUGAAUAUUCUGUGCAUGGGAUAAUGAAAUAAGACCUCUGUUCUGCUUUCAUUGGUUUUCAGAUCAAGAGGUAAUGAUUAAUAGAAGCAGUUUGGGGGCAUUAGUAUUACGACGCGAGAGGUGAAAUUCUUGGACCGUCGUAAGACUAACUUAAGCGAAAGCAUUUGCCAAAGAUGUUUUCAUUAAUCAAGAACGAAAGUUAGAGGUUCGAAGGCGAUCAGAUACCGCCCUAGUUCUAACCAUAAACGAUGCCAGCUAGCAAUUGGGUGUAGCUACUUUUAUGGCUCUCUCAGUCGCUUCCCGGGAAACCAAAGCUUUUGGGCUCCGGGGGAAGUAUGGUUGCAAAGCUGAAGAAUCCACCCACAGUGGCG